GACGAACGCUGGCGGCGUGCCUAAUACAUGCAAGUAGAACGCUGAAGGAGGAGCUUGCUUCUCUGGAUGAGUUGCGAACGGGUGAGUAACGCGUAGGUAACCUGCCUGGUAGCGGGGGAUAACUAUUGGAAACGAUAGCUAAUACCGCAUAAGAGUAGAUGUUGCACGACAUUUGCUUAAAAGGUGCAAUUGCAUCACUACCAGAUGGACCUGCGUUGUAUUAGCUAGUUGGUGGGGUAACGGCUUACCAAGGCGACGAUACAUAGCCGACCUGAGAGGGUGAUCGGCCACACUGGGACUGAGACACGGCCCAGACUCCUACGGGAGGCAGCAGUAGGGAAUCUUCGGCAAUGGACGGAAGUCUGACCGAGCAACGCCGCGUGAGUGAAGAAGGUUUUCGGAUCGUAAAGCUCUGUUGUAAGAGAAGAACGAGUGUGAGAGUGGAAAGUUGACACUGUGACGGUAUCUUACCAGAAAGGGACGGCUAACUACGUG
Molecule: ribosomal RNA, 495 nt
Filed under: uncultured bacterium
Lineage: Bacteria
Description: partial 16S ribosomal RNA
Rfam family: Bacterial small subunit ribosomal RNA
Source: RNAcentral